UGGGGAAUUUUGGACAAUGGGCGAAAGCCUGAUCCAGCCAUGCCGCGUGAGUGAAGAAGGCCUUCGGGUUGUAAAGCUCUUUUAGUCGGAAAGAAAGAGUCGCAAUGAAUAAUUGUGAUUUAUGACGGUACCGACAGAAAAAGCACCGGCUAACUACGUGCCAGCAGCCGCGGUAAUACGUAGGGUGCGAGCGUUAAUCGGAAUUACUGGGCGUAAAGGGUGCGCAGGCGGUUUUGCAAGUCAGAUGUGAAAGCCCCGGGGCUUAACCUGGGAAUUGCGUUUGAAACUACAAGGCUAGAGUGCAGCAGAGGGGAGUGGAAUUCCAUGUGUAGCAGUGAAAUGCGUAGAGAUGUGGAAGAACACCGAUGGCGAAGGCAGCUCCCUGGGUUGACACUGACGCUC
Molecule: ribosomal RNA, 402 nt
Filed under: uncultured bacterium
Lineage: Bacteria
Description: bacterial SSU rRNA
Rfam family: Bacterial small subunit ribosomal RNA
Source: RNAcentral